RNAcentral lists this ribosomal RNA (429 nucleotides) under Chloroflexota bacterium. RNAcentral's name for it is "Chloroflexi bacterium partial 16S ribosomal RNA". It matches the Rfam family "Bacterial small subunit ribosomal RNA", at positions 355 to 776 of the family's 1533-position model. The record is from RNAcentral. Lineage: Bacteria; Bacillati; Chloroflexota.
UAGGGAAUCUUCGGCAAUGGACGAAAGUCUGACCGAGCAACGCCGCGUGAGUGAAGAAGGUUUUCGGAUCGUAAAACUCUGUUGUUAGAGAAGAACAAGGACGUUAGUAACUGAACGUCCCCUGACGGUAUCUAACCAGAAAGCCACGGCUAACUACGUGCCAGCAGCCGCGGUAAUACGUAGGUGGCAAGCGUUGUCCGGAUUUAUUGGGCGUAAAGCGAGCGCAGGCGGUUUCUUAAGUCUGAUGUGAAAGCCCCCGGCUCAACCGGGGAGGGUCAUUGGAAACUGGGAGACUUGAGUGCAGAAGAGGAGAAUGGAAUUCCAGGUGUAGCGGUGAAUUGCGUAGAAAUCUGGAGGAAUACCAGUGGCGAAGGCGGCCCCCUGGACGACGACAGACGCUCAAGUGCGAAAGAGUGGGGAGCAAACAGG